RNAcentral lists this ribosomal RNA (336 nucleotides) under uncultured bacterium. Its description in RNAcentral is "bacterial SSU rRNA". It matches the Rfam family "Bacterial small subunit ribosomal RNA", at positions 147 to 507 of the family's 1533-position model. The record is from RNAcentral.
CCGGGGGAAACCCCGAUUAAUACCGCAUAUGGCCUAUGGGUCAAAGCCUUCGGGCGCCAAGAGAGGAGCCUGCGGCCCAUUAUUUAAUCCUAGUUGGUGGGGUAAUGGCCUACCAAGGGUACGAUGGGUAGCUGGUCUGAGAGGACGAUCAGCCACACUGGAACUGAGACACGGUCCAGACUCCUACGGGAGGCAGCAGUGGGGAAUAUUGCGCAAUGGGCGGAAGCCUGACGCAGCCAACCCGCGUGUGUGAUGAAGGCCUUCGGGUUGUAAAGCACUGUCGUGAGGGAAGAAGAUCUGACGGUACCUCACAAGAAAGCACCGGCUAACUCCGUG